UUGCAACUGAAAUGUCAAUAAACGCAAGGCUGUUUGGAAAGCAUUCUUCAGUACGUGGAAUAUGCAUUUCACCUCACUGGAGGUUUAAUUCCAGACUGGAGCCUUUUGCUCCAGGAAAAAUUUAGCAACUUCAGUUGCUUUUUCUUUUCCUCUUUUACCCAUAUAUUCUUCAAUUGCAUUCUUCAGGCUUUUCUGAUGUUUGGUUACCCUUAUUCUCUCAUUUCCCCUUCCCCUUCCCCUUGGGUUGCAAAUGAGUUUGGUUAAGAACCUCUUCCGGUUCCUCCUUCAUCCAGGUAAGGCUCAUUCUCCUUCUUCCGUUCCUCUUCGGCUGAAAGCGUCAGAGAUUCUACCGCAAAUUUAAGACUGGUAAUCUUCUUUUCUGUUGAAUUUUAUUUUUUAUUUUUCAUAUUUCAUUUAAUUUUCCUGUUCCAUUCUAUUGAAAUGAAAAACCAGUAAAGAAUUGGCUGUAGUUUUCUUUCACUCUGUUUAUAAAAUGAAGCUUUGGCUCAGAUUUUAUGGUUUCAGUUUCCCAUUCCAACUCAGCAUCAACUGAAUGUUAAAAUGAUUUGACAGUGUUUUUAUAUGCACUGUUUUUCCAGAUAAGAUUUUCUCAAAUUCAUCAAUACAAAAGUAAAAAAUAAGAACCCUAGAAUUCGGAGCUUAGUUCAGUGGUUUAUGUUCUUUUAAGAGAGAAUUUUAAUGUAAGUUUAGCCUCUUGUAUAUAUUUGCUCUGUUCAUUGAAAAGUCCUCUAAUUUACUUAAUUUUGCUAUUGAAUGCUUGUUAAUGAAAAGACAAUUGAAUUUAAGUUUGUAGCUGCUUUCUAUGUUCCAAUUUCUGCAUUUUCUUUACUAUGCUCAGCUUGUAUAUGAUUUAUUUGCUGAAGAUGUGUUUCUAAGAAGCUGAGGCCUAGAAAUGGUUUCAAAAGUUGCUUUUAUGCUUUGCUUUUAUUAUAAUAAAACACUUCACUUUCUUUAGAAGAGUGACCUUCUGAAAUCUGUUAAUGCUUUAAUUUUUAAUAUAGGAUUUUACUUGCUAAAGGUUCCCAUGGAAUUAUUAGACUUUGAGUUAGGUACUUGUGUUGUAAAUAAGGACUAUCUUUAGUGAGUGGUCAUUGAUUCGUGCACUUAUGGGUGGUAAACUUUGAGAUGCUACAGAAUCCAUUUUGGCGCAUUUAGUCAUUAUACUGCAUCAUAGCUGCAUAUACUUUCUAGUUUUUAUUUGGCUGUUGAAUGCAUGAACCGAAAGCAUUAGUAAACCAGAAGAUUGAAGAGUUGAUCUUCUGUUUGGGUUGUGAUCUAUCUUUGCAACUAUUGAUAGUUAUGACAUAGCUGCUCUUUGUUCUAGAAAGGAGAGGUAAUUUUUGUCAUUGUGCUGAAAUGUCAUAACUUAUAUGUUGUCCUCAGUAAGUCUGUUUCAUAUUCCCCUGGUUUUAUUGGUUUUACCAGUAUGCUGCCUCUCUUUCUUGCUUUGAAACGUGUUGCAAAGUCCUGACAAAAGCUGGCCAGGUGUAUUACAAUUGGCUGUCAUCUUACUGAUUGGUUUUUAUGAUAUCUGGCUCAAUGGCUUUCUUUUGCUACCUUCACACCAAAUCUAAAAGGCCUUAAAUUUUAUUAGAAAGGUGCUUUCAUUCUUUCAUUGAACGACAUAGUUUAUCUCAUUCAAUAAACAUCAUCAUAUAGACUAGUUGCAAACAAGUUAUGUAGAAACUUGAGAUAAUCAAGGGAAAGGGGGUUGUCGAGGUUUGAAUCCUCGACCUAGUGUCAACCAAGACUUGAAAGCAACAUAAGUCAUUUCUCAGUUGAUACUACACCGGUGGCUUGGUUACAUGGAAAGUUGGGAUUAAAAUAUUUAUAUAUAUACACACACAUAUAUAUGAGGUUACUUUGGCAGGGUCAUUGAUGAAAUGAUUUGUAUUAAUUGUUCUUGAAAAGCAUGAUAUGUAUUAAUUGUUCUUCUUCAAAGCAUGUGGAUUCAGAGAUGAUAUAUUGGGCUCUACUAUGAUGAUGUAUAGUAGGACAGUUUCAAGUACUUGUUUUGAAUGUGAGCGGAUGGUUAAACAAGCUGGUUGAAAACUGUAGUUAGUUCCAUCACUUCAAUUGCAGUUAGCAUCUUCCAAGACAACUAAACCACAAAGUUGAACCGCAUCAAACAUAUGGAUUUAGAAAGGCCGAGAAAUUAUUUCUUUUGUGUAUUCAAGCUUCAGUUUCUUUUUUAUCUUAGAAGAUUGCCCUCUUAUAUUUAUUGGCUUCAUUCGUAAUGUAGCAAUAAAAUAGAAGCUUUGGAGGGAUAUGGAAUGAAGCUUCAAUCAUGGCACAACAUACUGAUAGUAAUCAUAUAUUGUAUUAAGAACUGUAAUAUAUGCUACCUGGACUCUUGUUUUACCGUAAAUUACAUGUUUCGGCAUAUAUUUGGAAUAGGUAUGGGCACAACAUACUGAUAGUAAUCAUAUAUUGUAUUAAGAACUGUAAUAUAUGCUACCUGGACUCUUGUUUUACCGUAAAUUACAUCUUUCGGCAUAUAUUUGGAAUAGGUAUGGGGAUAUAGUCUUUCAAAUAUAUGAAAAAUAUUGAGCAUGACUAUGUUAGAUGUGGUACUCUCAUCUGAUGAGUCUAGGCAACCUAUUUUUUCAGCCACGCAGUGAAUUUUAAAUGGCCUCAUUUAACUUAUUCACCCACAUAAGUUCAUUUAUUUUAAUCAAACAGCC
Molecule: long non-coding RNA, 2705 nt
Filed under: Gossypium barbadense (sea-island cotton)
Lineage: Eukaryota; Viridiplantae; Streptophyta; Magnoliopsida; Malvales; Malvaceae
Description: long non-coding RNA (GBAR_LNC019668)
Source: RNAcentral